ACAAAAUUGUCAGUUCUCCAUACACGCUGCAACCAACUGAUAAUCCUAGAGUAUCUCUGGCCACAGGUUUGCUCACACAAGAUAAUUAUUCGACGUGGAUGAGGGCCAUGAGAAAUGCCUUAUUGUUUAAAUCAAAGUUAGGUUUCGUUAAUGGUAGUCUUAAGUGACCGACAACAAACUCUAUAGACGAAGCUGUCUGGAUUAUGGGAAAUUCCAUGGUAAUAUCUUGGAUUUUCAACUCGAUUCAUCCCUCUCUUCGCAGUAGUGUAGAUUUUUUUAUACGACAAGUGAACUUUGGAAAGAUUUGGAGGAGUGAUUUUUACAAGGGAAUGCUCCUCGAGUUCACCAACUGAAGUUGGAGAUAGUAAAUACACAACAACAUGAUCAAACAAUGAGUGUUUACUUCUCAAAAUUGAAGGGAUUAUGGGAUGAGUAUGGAUCAUAUUCUCAAUUACCAAACUGCAGUUGUGGUACUAUUAAGGAAUACAUAGCAGAAAGGGAAAAAGAGGAGGUUCAUCAAUUCUUUAUGUGAUUGAAUGACCAAUUUAAAGUUGUUCGAUCUAAGAUCUUAAAUACUGAACCAUUACCAACUCUUUCUCCUGCGUAUGUAUUAGUUUCACAGGAAGAACGACAACAACUCACCAAAAGCAAAGGAAAUAAUUUAUUGGAGAAGGCUACAUUUGCUUCAAAGAGCAACACCAAGAAUUUCAACUCUCGUCAAUUGUUAGGUAAUCAUGAUGUCCCAAAAUUAUUUUGUGAUCACUACAAACGGUGGAGACACACCAAGGAAAAAUGUCUUGAACUACAUGACUAUCCAAAUUGGAGGGAAACAAUAGAAAAGGAAAAGGACUUAACCACGAGGAAGCUAAUUGGCAUGGGUAAACUGAAGAAUAGCCUUUAUUAUUUUCAAAGUCAAGCACUAGUUUUAACUCUUUUGUCAAAUAAAGACCAGACAGUUUUGUGGCAUCAACAUCUAGGUCAUGCGUCUUUUAGUCGUUUGUCUUUCAUUUCAGAACUUCAAUUUUUAAUUUUAAUAAGUUAGAUGACUAUUGUGAUGCUUUCCACCGAGCUAAGCAAAUUCGAAAGUCAUUUCAUGUUAGUUCUAUUAAAUUUAAAGAAGCUCUUAAUUUGAUUCA
Long non-coding RNA from Solanum pennellii, 1136 nucleotides. RefSeq lists it as uncharacterized. The record is from RefSeq and is a predicted model, not a curated record. NCBI's taxonomy places the organism in Eukaryota, Viridiplantae, Streptophyta, Magnoliopsida, Solanales, Solanaceae. The transcript is spliced from 2 exons.